CAAAAAUGGCUGCGAACAUCCUGAAACGGUUUUUAACGCAAACGUCGAUUAAUUACAGACCUUUUUUGAAUACCUGUGUUAGACACAAUUCUACAAGGUUGGCAGAAGUUGGUGUUCUGGAAACUCCAAAAGAUCAUGGAAACUCUUAUGAAACUGGACAGCUGUUCUUGCACAAGAUAUUUGGUUACCGAGGAAUAGCACUGUUUCCGUGGCUGGCUCGAGUGUAUGAUCGUGAUACGGCAACCAAGACCGAGGACAGAAAUCUUGAUGACAGUUCGGCACAAGUUGGGAAGGAAGUGAAGGGAAAGAAUCACCUUUAUUACCAAGUUCUAAUUGAUGCCAGAGACUGUCCACAUAUUAGAGCCCAGACCGAAGCAGUCACAUUUCUAGGUAACCAAGAGAACAGUCGAGCUCUCUAUGCUAUUCCUGGUCUUGACUACGUUGCCCAUGAAGAUAUUCUUCCGUACACCAGCGAAGAAGCUACUCCCCUCCAACACGAACUCUUCGACAAAUUCCUCAUACACGAUCCUGAAAACAAUCCUCCUUUCUUGGCUCGUGAGACAUUAAGGGCAUGGCAGGAGAAGAAUCACCCCUGGUUACAGCUGUCUGAUGUGCAUCGAGAAACAACAGAGAACAUUCGAGUGACAGUUAUUCCAUUUUACAUGGGGUGCAGGGAAUCACAGCAAACUCAUGUAUACUGGUGGCGGUACUGCGUGCGGCUGGAGAACCUGGGAGAUGACACUGUACAGCUACGAGAACGACACUGGAGAAUAUUCAGUCUGUCAGGAACGCUGGAGACCGUCCGUGGUCGAGGGGUGGUUGGACAGGAACCUGUUUUGUCAAAAGACCAGCCAGCAUUUCAGUAUAGCAGCCAUGUAUCUCUACAAGCCCCCAGUGGACAUAUGUGGGGCACUUACAAAAUGGAGAGAAGAGAUGGAACAUCGUUUGACUGUAAAAUACCACCAUUCUCGUUAGAAAGUAAAUCCGAAGACGACUCCAGUCCACACACCUUUCUGAGCAGUUAACAUUUAGUAACUUACUAGCCUCUAACGAAUGAGGAAUUCAUUCUUUUUAAAUUGUGUCUGUACAAUUGUAAAUAUAGAGGUGUAUGUACAGUGUACUGACGGUGUGUAAUUUAUCAAAGACGUUUAUGCUGUGCACGUGUGGUUGAGUGUGUGUACACGUGAGUGGAUGGAUGUGUAUCUGUCAGUCUUGUUUGAAAUUGAAUCUUAAUGCCACUCUCCAUCAGUCUCUAUUAGAAGAUUUGAAAUGGGACACAUGCUUAUAAAACUUUGCAGGCUAAACUCAGAUCUAAAAUGAUGUUACACAUACGCUGUUUGUAGACACUGCUAUGAUGUUAAAAGUAUUGAUAUGUUAUUAAAGACUUUAGUCUAGUAGGCAUGUUUUUUCAGGAAUUUAAUACGGUGGAGUCUAGACUGGCUAGAAAAAGGUUGGGGGGGGGGGGGGUCAAGUCAUGCUCCCCAAAAAAUAUUGGGGAGAAAAUUUGCUUCAGCUGGGAUUGGGGGGGUGUGUGUGUGUGUGUGACCCAUGAAAGCAACCCCUUUACACAUGCCUGUCUAGACAUAAAAGUUUUAUAAACAGUGCACAUGGUGCUAGUGUCAUAUGUUGUCCAGCUGACCUUUCUUCAUGAGCAGUCAUUCCUUUUUGUUCCAUUUUUUGUUUUGUUAAUCUACACUGGCACAGUUAUGUCAGCAGUGGUUCUGAUUGGUCAAAUGGAAGGUCAUUUGGACACACAAUAUAAGUCUGGGUUUAGUUAGAUAUGCUAAUAGAGACUAGACUGGUUUAUCUGCAUUUGCAGGUGUCUGUGGGUGAUGUAAUCGCUUUAUUCAGUACUUAUACAAAUUUAGUCAGGACUGGGUGCUCAAGCUUAGGGUCAAGAUCUCACAAGGGUGAAUGUAGGAUUUUCAAAGGAUUGGGGUAGAUGUGAAUUCUAGGAACCUCUUUACUCAAUGAGAUCAUUCAGGUCAGCAGAACACUAUUUUACCCUCAUAGAUUAGAGCAUCUUUACAUGAGAUACAAAAACUGGUAUGUUUAAAUGCAAUAUUGUAAAUGAAUUUAAUCUUUCUAUGUAAGUUCAGAAUGUGUAAUCUGAAAGAAAAAAAAGAAUUUGUUAUCUCAGGUGGUGGACAGACACCAUACCUAUCUUAGAACUGCUCCGUAACUUGUGUUUUUCAGCCAGAUUUACAGGUCAUAAGUGGACUCCAGAGCAACCCCUCUUCCCAGUCUCUUCCCAGUCUCUUUCCAGGAAAUUACAACCAGUCAUAGGAGAAACUGAUUUCUAAGUUUGAACUUUCAGUCCAGGGGCCUAAUUCACUAAACUCUCGAACUUUACAAUCUUGCAGUGCAAUGCUAAAAUACUUGCAAUGAGCAUGCUUUGUUGUCUAACAGAGCCUAAAAGACUUUUGAUUCUUAGUGGUUUAUAUGCAACAAUCAUAGAAAUUGUUAUCCCAUGGAGACAAACAUUUGUAAUGUUACAUAUGAUAAAAAAUAAAUGUCAUUUGUCAGGAUUCAAGGGAUGUUAACAAAGUUCUGUUUAAUCUAUCACAACUUUCGUAAAUUUCCCAAAAUUAAUAAUAAUUAAAAUAUGCUGACUCUGAAUUCCAGUGUGAUCUUGCUGCUGUCUACUCCAGCUUUUGCCAGUGAAUUCAAGGACUGUUGAGUAUGAAUUUUGAGCUCUUUUCGUUGGAGUUAUCUCCCUUCGUAGCCAGUUCAAUGUACAGUAUAGCUGGUUGUCCUGGACAACCCAGAUAGCUGAGGUGUGUGCCCAGGAUAGCAUGCUUGAACCUUAAUUGGAUUAUAAGCACGAAAAUAAGUUGAAAUGACAAAAUGGUUAUUAAACUUGUGUUUUGAAUGACACCUAGCCGCAGGCCCGGAGGAGCAACAUUUGACACAAUUUAUAAUGUAGGGAGAGCAAAGUCUAGUCGGAGGGUGGGCAUAAGCCAGAUUUUUUUCUUUAUAUAGAGUAGAACAAAAAAUGUACAUUUUCGUCACGUGGGGGACACAGGCUCUCCUGCCCUUCGUUCCUAUGGGUUAGAGCAGACCCUUGUCCAUUUGGUGUCUUUUGUUGUGAUUUUGAGAAUUUCCACUGGAUUUUGAAAUCAGUGGUUUAUCAUAAAUCGAUAGAUCAGUGCUCCGAGAUGGGGACAUCAUCCCUGUCAAUGUGUAGAUUUAUUCCAGUGUUUAAGAAUAUGGCUUAAAUAUUUGUUUAUUCAUAUGACAGCGUGUUACAGCUAUUGGACUAACAGAUAUGAAAGUCAUUUCAUUUAACCUGUCUCAUGUGUGCAAGGAAAGGAAUGUUUGUUUAAGAAUAUGUGCAUACACGUUAUUCCCAGGACUGUAGUUUGAGUGGUUGGGAGGAGGGGUAAUCAGAAGUAUCAAGUCAUUGUAAGAUGGGAGCACUUCUCUAGCACCUAUGCAUAUAUAUACAUAUAUACUGAAUAACAUUUAAAAAAAACCACAUUAAUAUUAAUUUAGUUUUCUUUAAUUGAUUUAACUUUAUUCAGUUUGAAGCCCAUUAGUUUUUGUAUCUUUUAAAAUGAUCAAUUUCCUAAGAAUGUUUGUCAGUCUUUUUACCUGAUAAAUUUUUAUAAUGAAAGAAAAAUAUGUUCAAACUUAAUCACGUUUCUUUUACUCAGUAUACUUGCUGUAGGGGAAAAAUGCCUCCCACGAGUAACGGAGUUAUGCCUCUUUUAAUCCUCAUAUAUUUGGUGUUAUUAGUGUUAUACAUUUGGUAAUUGUAAUAUUAUCUAGAGAAUGAGAAACUACCUGCUACCACAUAUGUUACACUUUUAAUCCUCGGAUAUUGGGUGUUAAACGUGUGGUAAUUGUAACAGAUUAUCUAGAGCAUGAGAAACUAACUGCUACCACAGGUUACACUUUUAAUCCUAGGAUAUUGGGUGUUAAACGUGUGGUAAUUGUAACACAUGAUCUAGAGAAUGAGAAACUACCUGCUACCACAUAUGUUACAUUUUUAAUCCUCGGAUAUUGGGUGUUAAACAUGUGGUAAUUGUAACACAUGAUCUAGAGAAUGAGAAACUACCUGCUACCACAUAUGUUACACUUUUAAUCCUCGGAUAUUGGGUGUUAAACGUGUGGUAAUUGUAACAGAUUAUCUCGAGAAUGAGAAACUUAACUGUUAACUGCUAACAUGUUACACUUUUUAAUUAGUUUCAAAUGAAUUGUGAAUGCACUUGAAUAUAGUACAUGCUAUGGUUUUUUUAAUUAAUCAGUUGUGGAGUGAUUGUAAUUUCUUACAUCUACUGUUGUUGGUUAGAGGAAUAAACAAUUUUAUAUCUCGCCUCAUGUUUGUUUGCUAUGUCACUAACAAAUGUAGGCUUCUGAAAGCUGCAGUCCUGCAUCAUCGCAUGACAUCAUUUACUAAUGCAAGAUACAGUGAAACCCUCAAAACCAGACCCUCGGAAUACAGGGGUGGGACAUAGCCCAGUGGUAAAGUGUUCGCCUGAUGUGCAGCUGGUUUAGGAUCCAUCUCUGUUGGGUCGGUGGACCCAUUGGGUUAUUUCUCGUCCCAGCCAGUGCACCACGACUCGUAUAUCAAAGGUCAUUGUAUGUGUUAUCCUAUCUGUGGGAUGGUGCAUAUAAAAGAUCCCUUGCUACUAAUGGAAAAAUGUAGCGAGUUUCCUUUCUAAGACUAUGUCAGAAUUACCAAUUAUUUGACAUCCAAUAUCCGAUGAUUAACCAAUCAAUAUGCUCUAGUGGUAUCAUUAACCAAAACAAAACUUCUCUGAAAACCAGAAUCCAUUUAAAACUGCGUUUUUCAGUCUUAUUAUUAAAUAUCGGUAUAGAACAUGCUCUUACGGCUUUCUCAACCAGAUACAGGUACAUGUACCUCUUAAAACCAGAUGUUUUACAUGGUCCCAUGGGUGUUCCGUUUUAGAGUGGUUUCACUGUACAAACUUGGCUUGAUAAACGUGUGUUAUCGCUAUCAACAGUUAUCAUGAGCUGCCCUCAUGUAGCCUGUUGCCAUGCUUUCUUAAUAUUUCUAACGUAAAUGUUAUAAUGGAGAAUACAUUGGUGAGUAUAUCUAUACAGUAUCGAAGAAGAGCAUGCUGCAGUUAAACAAUUAAUGGUGACAAUCUGUUGUAUAUAGAUAUGAAAUAAAGCUUUACAGAAAUAAUAAAUUAUGAAUGGGGUUUUUUAAACACUGGUUUCAAAGUAAAGUUUAAUGACCACAUAUAUGUUGGUUUCUGUUAUUCUCAUCAGGUUUGCCUUCUUUUGAUAAUGACAAUUAUUUAUGUUUCCAUUGAUGUCUAUUUUUUUUGCACCCAUGGGUGGUGCUGUGCCAUCUAUCAUUUUAUUCCAAUUACUAUGUUUUGUAUUUUCUGUGUCGACAGAAAUAGCAAUUAAGAACUUUGCUUUAAUAAGAGAUGAGACUUGCACUUCCUGUGGAUAAUGAAAACUGAUUGAUUUACAACAUGGUGGUUUUUUCAUCCUGAAUACAAUUUCUACAAGUGCCUUUAAUUAUAAAUGUUGGUACAAUAGGUUGGUUUUUUGUUAGUUUUUCCUUUCAUAUAUGUGCACCCAAAGUUUUUCUUUUCUUUCUGUUUUUUUCUUUCAAAGCUGACUGGGUUUUUAUUGUUUGCCAGAAGACAUUUUUUGGCUUUUUUAUGUAAGUUAAACUCUAUCAGUGUGGGUUUCAUUGAUUUUCCAUGCAUAAAGUAUUAUCAGAGAGAGAUAGAUAGCUAGGUAGGUAGCUAGCUAGGUACAUAGGUACCGGUAGGUAGAUAUAUAGAUUGAUGGAUCGAUAGAUGGAUCGAUCGAUCGAUCGAUGGAUGGAUAGAUAGAGAUCGAUCAAUACCUGCCUAUAUAGACAAAUACAUUAGAUAGGUAGGUAGGUAUUCUCCCUACCCUAUUUAACAGAACACACCACUCAACUUUGUUCUUUAAAAUGGCAAUUUUGAUACUUGGCCUAGUAUAAGACAGUGAGAGAUUAAAUCACUCCUCCACACACUGAAAGCUUCUGAUGAGCAGAAUGGGUAUUCUUUAUAACUUACUCACACACAUGGUAGCAUAGAUUCAUCAGUCAUGGAAUGGAAAAUAACUCAAUAAAAACCCUGAAAUGGUUUGAUCCAGUGACCCUUUGCAGCUUAAUGUGAAGUUGUAUCACUGAGUUAUAUCCAUCUUAACCAUGUUAAGAAACCAGUACUGCCAUACAUAUUUUAACUUGACCAUGAUAUUAUGAACAACUUGCUGCUUAUAAUUUUACUGUACUGUUAUAAAAUAAGUCGACUAAGUGGAUGUAUGUUUUUAACCAAUAACAUCUUUAUCAUUCAAAUGUGACUAACCACAUUACAUUUACCAUAGUAUAUUAUGUAUUUGUAAUUUGUUGAACUAAUUCAUCGAUAUAACAUCUUAAAAAAUUGUACAUUGUCAAAGUUCAAAACAUGUUAAUCAUUUCAGAAUUUGUUUGACAUGUUAUAUUCUUUUAUUAGUUCCAUGCUGGUCCAACCGGAGGGGACUGUAGGUUUUGUCUCCGACCUUCUAUGUCUGUCUGUCUUACAGUGUGUCUGUCUGUCUAUCUGUGCAACUGUCUGUCCAUCUGUCCCACAUACAGUUUUCAGGACUUAUUUAUUUGCAAUGCAUGCGUCAAGAUAUUGACCUGGACUUUUGUGUAUAGUUUUAUCAUACUGUUACAGAUCAAGUCUGACUUUGAUGGCGAUUUACCCACUUUUUACAGAGUUAUGGCCCUUGACCUUGUGCGAUAUGAAAAUGUGUUGGGCCCAUUAGGGGGACAUGUAUUGCUUCAGCAGUACUCUCAGAAUACUUGUUUUAUAAAUAACAGAUAUUCUAUUUGUGUUAAAGUAUUGUCUGGACCAUAUGUUUCUUUUAGCAUGGGUGUUAUAAUUUAGUGUUAUAGUGAAGGGAUCUAGUGAAAUAAUAAUAAACAAAAUAAUAUUUCAUUCUUCCAUUAUAACCCCAGUUACCUCAGAUGUGUUGAAACGAUGUGCCUGUAUGUGUAGUUCCAUGUUUAUUGGUUGGUUGGUUUUUGCUUUUUAGUGUGGCGACGUUUGUGUGUGAGAAAGAAUUGACGCCUAUCCACCACGUUAAUACGUUUCUCAAUUGGUUGUUACAGUGUAUGUGUGUGUGUGCGCGCGCGCGCGUGUGUGUGUGUGUGCCGUUUUUACAUAGUCAGCUUUUUCACACCUGAAGAAGGUAAAUGUUUUAAUUUCUGGAAAGUUUCUAUUUAUAUUUGUACUGUAGUGUCUCAUUGUAUGUGCAUGAACAUAUAUGCAAACACACCAAAGAAAUUGAUGUUAUAAUUUAUAUUUAACAAAUGACGUAAUUGUAACUUCAAUAAGCAUAUGUGUUGACAUGUCUGCAUCGAAUAUUUACAGUGCUCUGUCACGUUUGAAAUAAAUAUAAAAUUUAA
This 7408-nucleotide unclassified non-coding RNA is filed under the name Gigantopelta aegis. Its description in RNAcentral is "polymerase delta-interacting protein 2-like, transcript variant X1". Lineage: Eukaryota; Metazoa; Mollusca; Gastropoda; Neomphalida; Peltospiridae. The record is from RNAcentral.